RNAcentral lists this ribosomal RNA (301 nucleotides) under uncultured bacterium. Its description in RNAcentral is "partial 16S ribosomal RNA". It matches the Rfam family "Bacterial small subunit ribosomal RNA", at positions 509 to 807 of the family's 1533-position model. The record is from RNAcentral.
CAGCAGCCACGGUAAUACGAAGGGUGCAAGCGUUAAUCGGAAUUACUGGGCGUAGAGCGUGCGUAGGCGGUGAGUUAAGUCUGCUGUGAAAUCCCCGGGCUCAACCUGGGAAUGGCAGUGGAUACUGGCUCGCUAGAGUGUGUCAGAGGAUGGUGGAAUUCCCGGUGUAGCGGUGAAAUGCGUAGAGAUCGGGAGGAACAUCAGUGGCGAAGGCGGCCAUCUGGGACAACACUGACGCUGAGGCACGAAAGCGUGGGGAGCAAACAGGAUUAGAUACCCCCGUAGUCCCUGUCUCUUAUAC